This 478-nucleotide ribosomal RNA is filed under the name uncultured bacterium. Its description in RNAcentral is "partial 16S ribosomal RNA". It matches the Rfam family "Bacterial small subunit ribosomal RNA", at positions 28 to 507 of the family's 1533-position model. The record is from RNAcentral.
GAUGAACGCUGGCGGCGUGCUUAACACAUGCAAGUCGAACGGGAAACCUUUUAUUGAAGCUUCGGCAGAUUUAGCUGGUUUCUAGUGGCGGACGGGUGAGUAACGCGUGGGUAACCUGCCUUAUACAGGGGGAUAACAACCAGAAAUGGUUGCUAAUACCGCAUAAGCGCACAGUACCGCAUGGUCCGGUGUGAACAACUCCGGUGGUAUAAGAUGGACCCGCGUUGGAUUAGCUCGUUGGCAGGGUAACGGCCUACCAAGGCGACGAUCCAUAGCCGGCCUGAGAGGGUGAACGGCGACAUUGGGACUGAGACACGGCCCAGACUCAUACGGGAGGCAGCAGUGGGGAAUAUUGAACAAUGGGGGAAACCCUGAUGAAGCGACGCCGCGUGAAGGAAGAAGUAUCUCGGUAUGGAAACUUCUAUCAGCAGGGAAGAUAGUGACGGUACCUGACGAAGAAGCCCCGGCUAACUACGUG